This 637-nucleotide ribosomal RNA is filed under the name uncultured Propionibacterium sp. RNAcentral describes it as "bacterial SSU rRNA". It matches the Rfam family "Bacterial small subunit ribosomal RNA", at positions 870 to 1504 of the family's 1533-position model. The record is from RNAcentral. Lineage: Bacteria; Bacillati; Actinomycetota; Actinomycetes; Propionibacteriales; Propionibacteriaceae.
CGCCUGGGGAGUGCGGCCGCAAGGCUAAAACUCAAAGGAAUUGACGGGGCCCCGCACAAGCGGCGGAGCAUGCGGAUUAAUUCGAUGCAACGCGUAGAACCUUACCUGGGUUUGACAUGGAUCGGGAGUGCUCAGAGAUGGGUGUGCCUCUUUUGGGGUCGGUUCACAGGUGGUGCAUGGCUGUCGUCAGCUCGUGUCGUGAGAUGUUGGGUUAAGUCCCGCAACGAACGCAACCCUUGUUCACUGUUGCCAGCACGUUAUGGUGGGGACUCAGUGGAGACCGCCGGGGUCAACUCGGAGGAAGGUGGGGAUGACGUCAAGUCAUCAUGCCCCUUAUAUCCAGGGCUUCGCGCAUGCUACAAUGGCUGGUACAGAGAGUGGCGAGCCUGUGAGGGUGAGCGAAUCUCGGAAAGCCGGUCUCAGUUCGGAUUGGGGUCUGCAACUCGACCUCAUGAAGUCGGAGUCGCUAGUAAUCGCAGAUCAGCAACGCUGCGGUGAAUACGUUCCCGGGGCUUGUACACACCGCCCGUCAAGUCAUGAAAGUUGGUAACACCCGAAGCCGGUGGCCUAACCGUUGUGGGGGAGCCGUCGAAGGUGGGACUGGUGAUUAGGACUAAGUCGUAACAAGGUAACCGUA